RNAcentral lists this ribosomal RNA (301 nucleotides) under uncultured bacterium. RNAcentral describes it as "partial 16S ribosomal RNA". It matches the Rfam family "Bacterial small subunit ribosomal RNA", at positions 509 to 808 of the family's 1533-position model. The record is from RNAcentral.
CAGCAGCCGCGGUAAUACGUAGGUGGCAAGCGUUGUCCGGAAUUAUUGGGCGUAAAGGGCUCGCAGGCGGUUUCUUAAGUCUGAUGUGAAAGCCCCCGGCUCAACCGGGGAGGGUCAUUGGAAACUGGGAAACUUGAGUGCAGAAGGGGAGAGUGGAAUUCCACGUGUAGCGGUGAAAUGCGUAGAGAUGUGGAGGAACACCAGUGGCGAAGGCGACUCUCUGGUCUGUAACUGACGCUGAGGAGCGAAAGCGUGGGGAGCGAACAGGAUUAGAUACCGCGUAGUCCCUGUCUCUUAUACA